ACGGCUCAGUAACACGUCAAUAAUCUAACCUUAGGUCUAGCAUAACUUCGGGAAACUGAUGAUAAUUCUGGAUAAGAUAUUUGUACUGGAAUGUCUUUUAUCUUAAAGCUUCGGUGCCUAAGGAUGAGUUGGCGGUGGAUUAGGUAGUUGGCGAGGUAAAGGCUCACCAAGCCGAAGAUCCAUAGGGGCCUUGAGAGAGGUAGCCCCGAGAAGGACACUGAGAAACUGGUCCUAGCCCUACGGGGUGCAGCAGGCGCGAAACCUUUACAAUGCACGCAAGUGUGAUAAGGGAAUCCCAAGUGCUCAUGCUAAGCAUGGGCUUUUGCCAAGAGUAAAUAUCUUGGCGAAUAAGUGAUGGGUAAGACUGGUGCCAGCAGCCGCGGUAACACCAGCGUCACGAGUGGCAACCGUAUUUAUUGGGUCUAAAGCGUCCGUAGCCGGUUUAAUAAGUCUUUUGUGAAAUCGUUGCGCUUAACGUAACGCUGUGCAAGAGAUACUGUUAGACUUGGAAUUGGGAAGAGUCAGAGGUAUUCUGGGGGGAGCGGUAAAAUGCUAUAAUCCUCAGAGGACCACCAGUGGCGAAAGCGUCUGACUAGAACAACUUCGACGGUGAGGGACGAAAGCCAGGGGAGCAAAACGGAUUAGAUACCCGAGUAGUCCUGGCCAUAAACGCUGUGAGCAAGGUGUCGCGUAUCCUUCGUGGAUGCGUGGUGUCGAAGAGAAGUCGUUAAGCUCACCACCUGGGAAGUAUGGUCGCAAGGCUGAAACUUAAAGGAAUUGGCGGGGGAGCAC
Molecule: ribosomal RNA, 792 nt
Filed under: uncultured archaeon
Lineage: Archaea
Description: bacterial SSU rRNA
Rfam family: Archaeal small subunit ribosomal RNA
Source: RNAcentral